UACAGAGACUGCAAGCGUUAUUCGGAUUCACUGGGCGUAAAGGGUGCGCAGGCGGCCGAGUGUGUUAGAUGUGAAAUCCCGGGGCUCAACCCCGGAACUGCGUCUAAAACUACUUGGCUAGAGUAUUGGAGAGGGUAUCGGAAUUCACGGUGUAGCAGUGAAAUGCGUAGAUAUCGUGAGGGACACCAGAGGCGAAGGCGGAUACCUGGACAAUUACUGACGCUCAGGAACGAAAGCGUGGGGAGCAAAAGGG
RNAcentral lists this ribosomal RNA (253 nucleotides) under uncultured bacterium. RNAcentral describes it as "partial 16S ribosomal RNA". It matches the Rfam family "Bacterial small subunit ribosomal RNA", at positions 524 to 776 of the family's 1533-position model. The record is from RNAcentral.